CCUACGGGUGGCAGCAGUGAGGAAUAUUGGUCAAUGGACGAGAGUCUGAACCAGCCAAGUAGCGUGAAGGAUGACUGCCCUAUGGGUUGUAAACUUCUUUUAUAUGGGAAUAAAAUGUUUCACGUGUGGGAUUUUGUAUGUACCAUAUGAAUAAGGAUCGGCUAACUCCGUGCCAGCAGCCGCGGUAAUACGGAGGAUCCGAGCAUUAUCCGGAGUUAUUGGGUUUAAAGGGAGCGUAGGUGGAUUUUUAAGUCAGUUGUGAAAUUUUGCGGCUCAACCGUAAAAUUGAAUUUGAAACUGGCAGUCUUGAGAACAGUAGAGGUGGGCGGAAUACGUGGUGUAGCGGUGAAAUGCUUAGAUAUAACGAAGAACUCCGAUUGCGAAGGCAGCUCACUGGACUGCAACUGACACUGAGGCUCGAGAGUGUGGGUAUCAAACAGGAUUAGAUACCCUGGUAGUC
Molecule: ribosomal RNA, 460 nt
Filed under: uncultured bacterium
Lineage: Bacteria
Description: partial 16S ribosomal RNA
Rfam family: Bacterial small subunit ribosomal RNA
Source: RNAcentral